CCCGAGGCCUGGAGCGGCAGUCAGCACCCCCACGCCGAGUCCCUGGCAGUCCCGGCCUUCCGGGGGCGGCCCUGGGGCCUCGGGCAACUGCAUCCACGGCCCUGGAGCCCAUCAUGUCCCAUGGUUCACGUUUUUCCGCCUGGAAACUGCAUGCCUGUCUUUCUGCUUUGCCAAAGUUUCCUUCGCACGAGGAGGGCCCUGAAUUACAGAAGUCGCUUUUCUCCACUGGGCAGAAAUGACCGCGGUAGCACUCCUGGGGAGGCCUCUAAAGCUGCAGACACGAUGUGUCGCGGGACCAUCCAGUUCUGGCCCCGUGCAGGAGGACAGGACGCCGUCUGGUCGCUGCCCUGGGCGCUCAACAUGGGAGCUGCCAGAGGAGAGCGCCCUGUGAGUGCCUGACAAAUGGAGACUGCCACACUAUACCAGCUGCCUCCCACAAUGGCUGUGAGGUGAGAACCUGAGGUGAGAACACACCCUUCCUUCAAGCUACUUCACACUGCCUCCUCAGCAUAAACAUAAGAUUUUCCCUUUUCUAUUCCUCUUAAGAGAAAAAGUAUAAUAUAGGCCAGAGGAAAAGUAUAAUAUAGGCCAGAGAAAAAAUAUAAUAUAGGCCACAGAGACUGACUUAAGUUUCUUGUGGCACAGAUGAGGAUUAUACUGUGGCAUUUCUCUUUUCUGUGACUGGGUGGGCCACGGUGAAAUAAAGUCCUAAAAUGUAUUAAAACUGUUUAGACCACCUAAAUUAGAAUCCUUCAUUUGUUAGGCCUUUCAGAAACAUUUCUCGGGACUGCAAAAUAUAUGGUAGGGAUUCAUUCCAUUUUAUAGAUCAGCAAACUGAGACAGAAGGUGAGUGAGGGAAUUGGAAUCAUACGAAUGGUUAUGGCAGGAUACAGGGCACAGAGACUUUGGCACACUUUACUUUUUCCACUAUACCACAUACUGUCUCCUGAAUUGAACAUUUUCAUCUUCUUUAUUAUAAAAUGAUUCAAAUAAAAUAUAUCUAUAUGUUUUCUUAUUUCACUUUUUUUUUUUGGUCACUCUAGAACUGUA
Molecule: long non-coding RNA, 1050 nt
Filed under: Homo sapiens (human)
Lineage: Eukaryota; Metazoa; Chordata; Mammalia; Primates; Hominidae
Description: HSALNT0010563
Source: RNAcentral